GAUAACUGGCCUGUGGCGGCCAAGCGUUCAUAACGACGUCGCUUUUUGAUCCUUCGAUGUCGGCUCUUCCUAUCAAUGUGAAGCAGAAUUCACCAAGCGUUGGAUUGUUUACUCACUAAUAGGGAACGUGAGCUGGGUUUAGACUGUCGCGAGAAAGGUU
Molecule: non-coding RNA, 160 nt
Filed under: Oryzias latipes (Japanese medaka)
Lineage: Eukaryota; Metazoa; Chordata; Actinopteri; Beloniformes; Adrianichthyidae
Description: Eukaryotic large subunit ribosomal RNA
Rfam family: Eukaryotic large subunit ribosomal RNA
Source: Rfam by way of RNAcentral